GUGAAACGGUAGCUUGGUUUGUCGUUUCCCUCCAAAUUAGAAACCAAAUAGCUUCCAACUAAUAUGGUCACUGAUUAUCAACAUUAAAACAAAAGAAAUUGACAGUCUCUCUCCAUCGUCUUUCCUUUCAUUUUUUGCACCAUUGAACACCAAAAUCCCCAAAUUUGUAAAACCCUAACCCCAUUGUCAUUUCCUGCCGAAAGUAGAAAUUGCUACUUCGAACUCACCGAGAAAGGCUGCAGGAGGACGUCUGUGGUCACCUGCCACCGAAAGCUUUUUGCAUUUGUGGUUACCGAUCAAGGAGGGUCUCCUACAGAGCUUAGAAGAACAAAUGAGGCCACAGUGAGAGAGAGACAGGUUUGUGUGUCUGUGCAUGUAAAACGCGGAAGACAAGAAAAGCAAAAAUUGAAGCUAAGAUGUUAAGAUUUGUUAUCCUACAAUCAUGGCUUCUCGUAUUCUGCUUAUUCUCCACCACUUUAGCUAAACCAGUAAGUCUUUCUUUUUUCUUUUGACCUUCACUUUAGCAAUUUUUUAAUUUGAUGAAAUUUUAAUUGUUUGAUGGCUGUGGAUUUAAAUUAGGGAUUCUCGUUUAUUAUUUAAUUGGAUAAAUGAUAUUAAUUUUUGAAUAUAGUAGAUAUGUAUAUUGUGGAUUUGAAUUAGGGAAUGUUAUUUAGCAUUUAGCCUGAUAAAUGAGUGUUAUCUUUUGAAUGUAUGUAUGUAUAUAUUCAGUUUGAUAAAUGCUUGUUUAGAAUUUAUGUAUGUAUAAAUGGCUCAUGAGCUGUUUCUCCGUUCUGUGGUUUUAUUUGUGAUUGUUGUUAUUGAUUAAUGUUGAAGUUCUGGUGUUUAAUGAUCUGCCAAAAAUGCAAAACUUCUUACGCUUGCUUGUAGAUUCGCACUUUCACACCAUCCAUAUGAAGCUUCUUAGGUUAGUUAUCAUGUACUAAGCAGUUUGGAUAUUACAUAAAAUAAAAUUAAAUGAAAUUCUUACUUUUUCAUCUAUAAUGUUUCAGGAAACUGAACUUUGAACUGCUUAUUGGUAAUAAUUGAUGUUAUAAUUAUUUCUGUUUUAAAAAACCCAAAACUCUUUUGUUUUUCUUCUAGUUGUUUUAUUCUUUUCUCAAUUCACAUAGUUAGGAAUAUUAGCAAAAUACAUAAAAAAUUGGAUUAUAAGAUAGAUAAAGAAGGAAAAAAGGGAAAAACUAUGAAUCGGUAAUGAUUGCUUCCUUUUCAAUUCUAUACUGCAGUUUGUGGUUGAUAAUAGCUAUGAAUCAGUGUAUAUACUAUAAUAGCUUUAUCACUCGAAUCUAUGUUGGGAGUAUCAAUAAGAGCAAUGAGAAGAGGAAAAACAAAAGUAAUCCUGAUAGAAAUGCAACAUAAUUGUAUGCUUAACGUGACAUGAAAUAUACUUGUUUAUUGCAAAGGGUUUUCACUUUACUAAUUGAAUUUUUACUAAUUAAUAAUUAGGCCUUGUCAGUGUAAACAAUGAUACCUUUUUAAUUUAUUUGUUUUCUUUCUUUUACUUUUUUUCUAUUCAAAAAUAUUAUGCAUGUUUGAGAUUAUAGAGGUAGGAAGGAUCUUAUGUUUCUAAGAGAAUAUCAAAUUCUAUCAAAUCGUUAUGUGGAUGACCCUCCUAGGCAAGUUGAGGUAAGUGCAUAAUAAUAAAUAUAUUAAUUUAAUUAAUUUAGCUAAUUUAAUUUAUUUAAUUAAUUCAGUAACUCCAAUUUAUUUAUUUUGUAUAUUAUAUUAUGUCUAAGGACUGUGUAGGAAAGCCUUGAGGAGCGCCUACCAGAGGCAUCUCACGAUGAAGACGGUAAUCCGAUGCUACUGUCCCAGGAGGAGGAUGAGGGAAUUUUCUUAUAUACAGUUCAGACUUCCUCAUAUAGCAGAUAUGUAUAUGGGAUAAGGAAGAAUAAGACAUCUUCAUAUCACUGUGAUGCUUGGACCUUCACAGCUACCACUAGUGGGACUGACGAGUCGAGCUUUAGAAAACUUGAAGACACUACCAUUCAGUUGGCGAGUCAGUUGCAAGACAAAGACAAGCGGAUUCAAAUGUCGGAGACCACUGUGCGCUAGUUGGUUCAGGGAAUGACCCAGAGCGUUCAACAGCAUGUCCCCUCUACCUGACCCCCUGUCGAUGACUCGCAACAAGAUCCACCUUCUAGCGAGUCAUGAGUUUAUUAGUACUUCUCCUUUCUAUUUCUGUAACUUUCUGUCUGUACAUCGACUUUGUGACCUAGGAAUUUUUUUUUUUGUUAUUAGGAUGUUUGCACUUAUUUAUAUUUUAUACUUUAUAAAAUUCUUGGGCUAAGGCUUUCCAAUAGUCAUUAUCA
Ricinus communis (castor bean) is the source of this 2330-nucleotide RNA transcript. RefSeq lists it as uncharacterized. The transcript is spliced from 2 exons. The record is from RefSeq and is a predicted model, not a curated record. NCBI's taxonomy places the organism in Eukaryota, Viridiplantae, Streptophyta, Magnoliopsida, Malpighiales, Euphorbiaceae.